RNAcentral lists this long non-coding RNA (1042 nucleotides) under Triticum aestivum (bread wheat). RNAcentral describes it as "long non-coding RNA (TAES_LNC023084)". Lineage: Eukaryota; Viridiplantae; Streptophyta; Magnoliopsida; Poales; Poaceae. The record is from RNAcentral.
UGGGCGCUUAGAACAUUAUUUUUUUUAAAGAAGAAGCAUCGAUGGAGGAGUCCGUUGGGGCGGGAUCCGGCUUGCCUGCUCCCUCCCCAUGCUUCCAUCCGUGCUCCCACUUCAUCCUACGGCUGUCUUUUUUUCUUUUUUCUUUCUAAUCUAAUCAUCUUCCCCCUUGAUUUUAAGGGGGUGGGGCCGAGUCUUAUUUUGUUCCAAUCAAAUCAAGCCACAUACGCGGGAGCACGGAUGGGAACACGCGCAGGGAGCAGGCAAGUCUCGUCAACAGACGACCCAUGAACGCCUAUUUGAGUGCUACCGUAGUCAGCGGAGGAUUUUUAGCGCUCGUUAGAAAGGGCCAUGCAAGCGAAAAGGAGUCCAUGCGCCUGACGACUGCCUUGGCAUCAAUGCCAGGUAGAAUCCUGGGAUCGAUCGGGAUUUAAUCAAAACGGACAGGAAAUAGCGCCUGCGUUGUAGAUGCCCUUAGCAGCCUAAUAAUAAUCACUAUUUAUUGGGCUGGACACGGCCCAUUUGUUAUUUAGAUCGCUUCGCUCGGAUCGGCGGAUCUCGCGAGAUUUGGUCGGUGGUUGUCUUUGGUGGAUCCGCUCGGAUCCGGUCUUUGUUCGUCGUUGUUCAUGUGUCUUCAAGUUGGAUCCUUCUGAUUUAAAAUUAUUUUCAUCGGCGGCGGUUGCUAUUCUGAGGCAUUGGUCGUAUGGGACCUUAGCACGACAACUUCUCGACUGUCUGCUACAACAAAUUGUGCCCGGCUCCGGCGAGGGAGGGCGAUGACGGUGGAGCGCCUUCGGCUCACUUCAGUGAUUGUAGUCGUCGCUAUGUGGUCUAUGAAUCUGGAUGUAAUUUUUAUUAUUUUUGGUGUUUGUUGUACUGUCAUGAUUGAAGAUUAAUAGAUCGAUAGUUUCCGCAAAAAGAAAAAAAAGAUCGCUUCGCUGAUGCUCUGUUUUCUCCUCUUGUCUUUUGCUUUCCUUAUUAUCAUUUCAUUUGAAAGUAAUUUUGUAUUGUUAAAAAUUACUCCAUCCGUCCCAUAAUAUAAAAG